This 585-nucleotide ribosomal RNA is filed under the name Trichoderma spirale. Its description in RNAcentral is "eukaryotic LSU rRNA". It matches the Rfam family "Eukaryotic large subunit ribosomal RNA", at positions 40 to 647 of the family's 3401-position model. The record is from RNAcentral. Lineage: Eukaryota; Fungi; Ascomycota; Sordariomycetes; Hypocreales; Hypocreaceae.
AUAUCAAUAAGCGGAGGAAAAGAAACCAACAGGGAUUGCCCCAGUAACGGCGAGUGAAGCGGCAACAGCUCAAAUUUGAAAUCUGGCCCCUCGGGGUCCGAGUUGUAAUUUGUAGAGGAUGCUUUUGGUGAGGUGCCGCCCGAGUUCCCUGGAACGGGACGCCACAGAGGGUGAGAGCCCCGUCUGGCUGGCCACCGAGCCUCUGUAAAGCUCCUUCGACGAGUCGAGUAGUUUGGGAAUGCUGCUCAAAAUGGGAGGUAUAUGUCUUCUAAAGCUAAAUAUUGGCCAGAGACCGAUAGCGCACAAGUAGAGUGAUCGAAAGAUGAAAAGCACCUUGAAAAGAGGGUUAAAUAGUACGUGAAAUUGUUGAAAGGGAAGCGCUUGUGACCAGACUUGGGCGCGGCGGAUCAUCCGGGGUUCUCUCCGGUGCACUUCGCCGCGUCUAGGCCAGCAUCAGUUCGUCGCGGGGGAAAAAGGUUUCGGGAACGUGGCUCCUCCGGGAGUGUUAUAGCCCGUUGCAUAAUACCCUGCGGUGGACUGAGGACCGCGCAUCUGCAAGGAUGCUGGCGUAAUGGUCACCAGCGA